AUACUUACCUGGCAGGGCAGAUACCAUGAUCAUAAAGGUGGUUUUCCCAGGGCGAAGCUUAUCCAUUAUACUCCCAUGGGCCGACCCCUGCGAUUUCCCCAAAUAUGGGAAACUCAGUGGCAUAAUUGGUAGUGGAGGACUGCAUUUGCACUCUCCUC
Artibeus jamaicensis (Jamaican fruit-eating bat) is the source of this 158-nucleotide small nuclear RNA. RefSeq annotates it as U1 spliceosomal RNA. NCBI's taxonomy places the organism in Eukaryota, Metazoa, Chordata, Mammalia, Chiroptera, Phyllostomidae. The transcript has a single exon. The record is from RefSeq and is a predicted model, not a curated record.